Molecule: ribosomal RNA, 460 nt
Filed under: uncultured bacterium
Lineage: Bacteria
Description: partial 16S ribosomal RNA
Rfam family: Bacterial small subunit ribosomal RNA
Source: RNAcentral
CCUACGGGUGACAGCAGUGAGGAAUAUUGGUCAAUGGACGCGAGUCUGAACCAGCCAAGUAGCGUGAAGGAUGACUGCCCUAUGGGUUGUAAACUUCUUUUAUAUGGGAAUAAAAUGUUCCACGUGUGGGAUUUUGUAUGUACCAUAUGAAUAAGGAUCGGCUAACUCCGUGCCAGCAGCCGCGGUAAUACGGAGGAUCCGAGCGUUAUCCGGAUUUAUUGGGUUUAAAGGGAGCGUAGGUGGAUUGUUAAGUCAGUUGUGAAAGUUUGCGGCUCAACCGUAAAAUUGCAGUUGAAACUGGCAGUCUUGAGUACAGUAGAGGUGGGCGGAAUUCGUGGUGUAGCGGUGAAAUGCUUAGAUAUCACGAAGAACUCCGAUUGCGAAGGCAGUUCACUGGACUGCAACUGACACUGAGGCUCGAAAGUGUGGGUAUCAAACAGGAUUAGAUACCCCUGUAGUC